GUUGCUAAGAUAUCAUUUCCUUUCUCAUGUUUUUCUUUCUUUUUUCUUUCUUUCACUUUUUUUAAAUGUGGCAAAACUCAAUGUAAAGAGAGACGCUUCUCCAUUGACCAUGCAAGGGAAACAUUAUUUUUAGUUCUCUUGGUCAUUCUCAGAGAGCCUGAGAAAUUAUCAGGUUUUGCUGAUAGCUUUUACUUUCAGAAAUUCAUCCUGAGGGGUGUUGUAACUGUGUUGUCCACUAAUGGCAUCAAAGCCUGUUGAAAUGCCUGAUUUACUUGAUACGAAUAACAACAAUUCAUCAGAAAAAAUCCUCAAGACUGAUGCAAACUUGGCAAAUGACUCAGGAGGUCAUGCACAGAUAGACCAAGUUUCUAAAAACAAUGCAAAGAUGACAACAACAAGUAAACCAUCAUCUAGACCUCAGAGACUGGAACCAUCCAUGAGGAACAUGUCUGAAUUCUCCACAGCCUCAUCUGCAAGGGGGUUUCAUACAAAGAACCAUGGCUACAGGAGCGGAUCUAGCUCCCGCAGCGACAGUUUAGAGAGCACAAGUGCACCGAUUAAGCCCCACACCGGAGGCGAUGUGAGGUGGGAUGCAAUUAACAUGGUUUCCAAGGGCUUUAGUCUUAACCUUAGCCAGUUUAGGCUUCUGAAGCGUGUAGGGUACGGAGACAUUGGAAGCGUGUACCUUGUGGAGCUUAAAGGAACUAGGACCUUCUUCGCCAUGAAAGUGAUGGAUAAGGCGUCUCUUGCAAGCAGAAACAAGCUUCUGAGAGCACAGACAGAGAGGGAGAUUCUUGGACUUCUUGACCACCCUUUCUUGCCCACUUUAUAUUCUUAUUUUGAGACUGAGAAGUAUUACUGUUUGGUCAUGGAGUACUGUAGUUGUGGCAGUUUGCAUUCCCUUCGAUUGAAGCAACCUAACAGGCAUUUCACCGAAGAAGCUGCACGGUUUUAUUGUUCAGAGAUCUUGUUAGCACUGGAGUACCUUCACAUGCUCGGCAUCGUCUACAGAGACCUAAAACCAGAGAACGUCCUAGUCCGCGACGAAGGCCACAUCAUGCUCUCCGAUUUCGACCUCUCCCUCCGCUGCUCCGUCAGCCCCACCCUCGUCAAAUCCUCCUCCGCACACGUCAGCACCACCACCGGCGUCAUAGACGACGGCAACCACCAAGUCCAAAGCUGCAUGCAACCCUCAAGCUUCUUCCCACGCAUCCUCCCCUACAAAAAGAAUCGCAAAUCCAAAUCCGACUUCGGCCUCAUGGUCGGCGGCCGUCUCCCGGAGCUCAUGGCGGAGCCGACGAACGUCCGGUCAAUGUCGUUCGUCGGAACUCACGAGUAUCUCGCGCCGGAGAUUGUUCGCGGCGAGGGGCACGGAAGCGCGGUGGAUUGGUGGACAUUCGGAAUAUUCCUCUACGAGCUUCUUCAUGGAACGACGCCGUUUAAGGGCGCUGGGAAUCGUGCCACGCUUUUCAAUGUGGUGGGCCAGCCUUUGAGGUUUCCAGAAGAUUCGAAUUGUCAUGUGAGUCAUGCAGCGAGGGAUCUUAUUAGAGGGUUGUUGGUGAAAGAGCCUCAUAAGAGGAUUGCUUAUAAGAGAGGUGCUACUGAGAUUAAGCAACAUCCUUUUUUUGAUGGGGUUAAUUGGGCUCUUAUUAGAAGUGCUACACCUCCUAUUAUACCUGAAACUGUUGAUUUUUCACAGUAUUUGAGCAACCAAACUGUGGCUGCUGAUAAGAAGAUGGCUGAGAUUGUGAGUGAACAAAAUACUACUACCAAUGCUGAACAACCUGAUUCUUAUGAAGAUUUUGAGUAUUUCUAGCUAGAAAGAAUUGCUUACAAAUAUCCUUGUUUCUUUCAAGGACACUGGUCUAUACCAACUAUAAAUAAACAUUAGAAUGUAAUGUAUCUUCAUCUUUUUAGUAACUCUAUAGUCUAUAGGGGGAGAGACUUCUUAUUUCAUGUCUGUGCCCAAUAUUCCAUGUAUCUUUAUAGUCGGCAGACCUAUGAGAUUAAUCUCGACAAAGUUUUGAUAUAAAAAAAAAUUGGAUAUAUAAAACUUGAGAGUUGCAAUUUGCGAUGAAGUGAAAGAGAGCAAUCACACUCAUUUGAUGACAGUAACAUCGUUUUCUCAUUUUCGUUAAAAAGA
Molecule: RNA transcript, 2143 nt
Organism: Lotus japonicus
Lineage: Eukaryota; Viridiplantae; Streptophyta; Magnoliopsida; Fabales; Fabaceae
Gene name: zinc finger CCCH domain-containing protein 37
Exons: 5
Source: RefSeq, a predicted model, not a curated record